Molecule: ribosomal RNA, 394 nt
Filed under: uncultured bacterium
Lineage: Bacteria
Description: partial 16S ribosomal RNA
Rfam family: Bacterial small subunit ribosomal RNA
Source: RNAcentral
CCUACGGGAGGCAGCAGUGAGGAAUAUUGGUCAAUGGCCGUAAGGCUGAACCAGCCAAGUCGCGUGAGGGACGACGGCCCUAUGGGUUGUAAACCUCUUUUAUGCGGGGAUAAAGGUUUCCACGGGUGGAUGUUUGCAGGUACCGCAUGAAUAAGGACCGGCUUACUCCGUGCCAGCAGCCGCGGUAAUACGGGGGAUGCGAUCGUUAUCCGGAUUUAUUGGGGUUAAAGGGAUCGUAGGUGGGAUGUUAAGUGAGUUGUGAAAGUUUGGGGCUCAACCGGAGAAUUGCAUUUGAUACUGGCAGUCUUGAGUACGGUAGAGGUAGGCGGAAUGCGUGGUGUAGCGGUGAAAUGCUUAGAUAUCACGAAGAACACCGAUGGCGAAGGCAGCAUAC